Molecule: ribosomal RNA, 251 nt
Filed under: uncultured bacterium
Lineage: Bacteria
Description: partial 16S ribosomal RNA
Rfam family: Bacterial small subunit ribosomal RNA
Source: RNAcentral
UACGAAGGGAGCUAGCGUUGUUCGGAAUCACGGGGCGUAAAGCGCACGUAGGCGGAUUUGCCAGUCAGGGGUGAAAUCCCGGGGCUCAACCUCGGAACUGCCUUUGAUACAGCAAGUCUUGAGUUCGAGAGAGGUGGGAGGAAUUCCUAGUGUAGAGGUGAAAUUCGUAGAUAUUAGGAAGAACACCGGUGGCGAAGGCGGCCCACUGGCUCGACACUGACGCUGAGGCGCGAAAUCUAGGGGAGCAAACG